GAGGAAACAGCCGCCGUCUUGCGCCUAACGCUCACCACCGCGUGGGAAGGAAGCUCUUGAAUGUACUGUUACUGUAUUCUAUCAAAAUAUGAGUAUUCCUUUAGUUAUAACAAAUGGAUGCUGCUACCUGCUAUGUUCUUCUUGCAAAAUGAGAAUCAAAGAUUUAUUCAGUCCCA
Setaria italica (foxtail millet) is the source of this 176-nucleotide long non-coding RNA. RefSeq lists it as uncharacterized. The transcript is spliced from 2 exons. The record is from RefSeq and is a predicted model, not a curated record. NCBI's taxonomy places the organism in Eukaryota, Viridiplantae, Streptophyta, Magnoliopsida, Poales, Poaceae.